RNAcentral lists this ribosomal RNA (484 nucleotides) under Leifsonia sp. S1.ACT.003. Its description in RNAcentral is "bacterial SSU rRNA". It matches the Rfam family "Bacterial small subunit ribosomal RNA", at positions 19 to 514 of the family's 1533-position model. Lineage: Bacteria; Bacillati; Actinomycetota; Actinomycetes; Micrococcales; Microbacteriaceae. The record is from RNAcentral.
CUGGCUCAGGACGAACGCUGGCGGCGUGCUUAACACAUGCAAGUCGAACGAUGAACCUGGAGCUUGCUCUAGGGAAUUAGUGGCGAACGGGUGAGUAACACGUGAGUAACCUGCCCUUGACUCUGGGAUAACCUCCGGAAACGGAAGCUAAUACCGGAUAUGACGCACGGAGGCAUCUCCUGUGCGUGGAAAGAACUUCGGUCAAGGAUGGACUCGCGGCCUAUCAGGUAGUUGGUGAGGUAACGGCUCACCAAGCCUACGACGGGUAGCCGGCCUGAGAGGGUGACCGGCCACACUGGGACUGAGACACGGCCCAGACUCCUACGGGAGGCAGCAGUGGGGAAUAUUGCACAAUGGGCGCAAGCCUGAUGCAGCAACGCCGCGUGAGGGACGACGGCCUUCGGGUUGUAAACCUCUUUUAGUAGGGAAGAAGCGAAAGUGACGGUACCUGCAGAAAAAGCACCGGCUAACUACGUGCCAGCAG